Molecule: transfer RNA, 25 nt
Filed under: Aporrectodea caliginosa
Lineage: Eukaryota; Metazoa; Annelida; Clitellata; Crassiclitellata; Lumbricidae
Also listed under: 1 other name
Description: partial tRNA-Asn
Source: RNAcentral
CCCGUGCUAUCUAUAGCUCACUUAG